CUUUGGGAUAACCACCGGAAACGGUGGCUAAUACCGGAUAUGACGGGCUCCGGCAUCGGGGUUCGUGGAAAGUUUUUCGGCCAGGGAUGUGCUCGCGGCCUAUCAGCUUGUUGGUGGGGUAAUGGGCCUACCAAGGCUUCGACGGGUAGCCGGCCUGAGAGGGUGACCGGCCACACUGGGACUGAGACACGGCCCAGACUCCUACGGGAGGCAGCAGUGGGGAAUAUUGGACAAUGGGCGGAAGCCUGAUCCAGCAACGCCGCGUGAGGGAUGACGGCCUUCGGGUUGUAAACCUCUUUCAGUACCGACGAAGCGCCGAUGAUGGUGGUGACGGUAGGUACAGAAGAAGCACCGGCCAACUACGUG
RNAcentral lists this ribosomal RNA (366 nucleotides) under uncultured bacterium. RNAcentral describes it as "bacterial SSU rRNA". It matches the Rfam family "Bacterial small subunit ribosomal RNA", at positions 136 to 507 of the family's 1533-position model. The record is from RNAcentral.